Long non-coding RNA from Labeo rohita (rohu), 641 nucleotides. RefSeq lists it as uncharacterized. NCBI's taxonomy places the organism in Eukaryota, Metazoa, Chordata, Actinopteri, Cypriniformes, Cyprinidae. The record is from RefSeq and is a predicted model, not a curated record. The transcript has 4 exons.
UUAAGAUCAAAUGCUUUUUUUUUUUUUUUAGCAGAAAAUGAGGUUUUUUUGGUUUUAGAACCAAAGCCUUUUCCUUUCAUAAUGGGCGUCUUCUCAUGAGAUUAUGAAAAUCCCCAUUCCGAACCUCAGACAGCACAACAACAACAACAGAGAUCUGAGUUGUGAUGGAAGUUUCCUCUCUUCAGCUCAACACAAGAGAUUUUUUUUGACAAAAGGAGAAUUAAAUAUUUUUUUGACAAAUCGAAAGAGAAUUAAACAGACAGAAACAGAAAAAUUACAAACAAAGAAUACAAGAGACAAUCUUCGUCUGAACCAGGAGAGAAAAGGGCACUGAAACUAAUCAGACAGAGCAGCAUUAACAGUGGAAGACCAAACUUUUCUGAUGAUCCAGACACUUUCAUUCAGAGUGACUCACAGACGAGAAAAAAGCAGCUCCUUUCACCGGGCCAGCAGAACUCCCUGAUUAAUCACUGUAUAUUUUAUAUUGUUUGUAGUUUUGUGUUAUUAUAUAUUAAGAAAUUAAAGACCUGUAUAAUCAACCCAUAUAAGCUUCAUUCACUUUAAGUUGUUAAUAUAACAAAUUAUUGGAGUGAAUCAAUUGUGACCCUGGACCACAAAACCAGUCAUAAGGGUCAAUAUUU